Canis lupus familiaris (dog) is the source of this 2749-nucleotide long non-coding RNA. RefSeq lists it as uncharacterized. The transcript is spliced from 4 exons. The record is from RefSeq and is a predicted model, not a curated record. Lineage: Eukaryota; Metazoa; Chordata; Mammalia; Carnivora; Canidae.
UCCGGGGUGCGACACAACCCAGGGCCGACCAGGCCGCGGCGCCCCGCCCUUUCCCGGGACGCGGGCCGGCCCGGGGCGGGGAGCGGGCGGGUGAGCGGGCGCUUACAGGUCGGUGCCGAGCCGCGUGAAGCCGGAGUUGAGCGAGGCCCGGGCUAUCCGGCGCCAGAGCAGGUCGCAGCCGGUGAAGCGCCGCAGCCAGCGGCACACCUGCGCCAGGCGGCCGAGGGCCCGCAUGUCCAGAGACGCACAGAGAGAGAGAAGACUCAGGCAGAGGGAGAAGCAGGCUCCAUGCAGAGAGCCCGACGUGGGACUCGAUCCCGGGUCUCCAGGAUCACGCCCUGGGCUGAAGGCGACACUAAACCGCUGAGCCACCGGGGCUGCCCAAGACCCUGCUUUCAAUUCUGAAGGGCAUAUACCCAGAAGGGGAAUUUCUGUGUCAAAUACAGGAUUCCAAUGUUUUAACAACAAUACAGAAGAUCACAUUCCCACCUAGACGCUAAGAUCAGGAAGCAGCAACAUGGCACUGGAAGAAAUUGCCUGUUUUCACUUUUAUGUACUUCCGAGUUUCUUUAGCAAGCACCAGUGAACAGAAUAACAUGGAAAACUCAACAAACAGGAGAAAGAGGAGAAGUUUUAAAACUUAACCCGAGCUCACCCACAGCGGAAAGUAAUGGUCCUAGAUCCCAGAGGCCCGGGCCACGCGACUGGGGCCACGUGACUGCGCCCACGUGACUGCGCAGAAGCAGGCGGUGGCCCGAGAGGCCCAACCAAUCAGAAGGCGCGCAGGGUGGCUUGAAACGGAUAAGGCUCACUCUCUGCCACUUUAGAACUUCAAUCCUGUGAGGGAGGCUGAGGAACCUAGCUUCUACUUCACUGUCCUCAAGUGAUGUGGCUGAAUUUCAUCCUUGGAUCUGACUCCUGGAUCCUUGGCUGUCUUCUGUGAAAUGAGCCCAAGGAUGGCCCAGCUCCACGUACGUAAUGUGGGACACCCUGAGAGAAAAGACGGGGAGAGAGGAAAAGUGAUGGCAGUGCAGGGAGGCAAGGGAAGGAGGGAGCUGAUGUGGAAAAGAAGGGAAGAGUUUGUGAAUAGGAGGGAGAUCAAAAAAGAAGAGACUAAGAAGGGACAGAGGUGAAGAGGAAAGGGGAGAGGUAAGGGGGAGCAAUAGGAAAGGAGGAGUCAAGAGAGGAAGAGGAAAGAUGGAGCCAUGGCCGAGCAUGCACUUAAGCCGGAGGAAGGUGGAGAGGAGAUGACAGUGGGGUCUUAGAAGAGUCAGAAUCACCUGAAGCAUAAUCCAGGUCCCCUGGGUAGGUAGCUCAGUGGGUUGAGUGUGGGACUCUCCCUUUGGAUCAGGUCAUGAUCUCAUGAGUCCUGGGGCUCCACGCUCAGUGGGUGGGGGGAGAGUCUGCUUGAAAAUUCUCUCCCUCUGCCCCUCCCCUUGCUCUUUCUCCCCUCUCUCUCUAAAAUAAAUAAAUCUUAAAAAAAAAGACAAUCACCUGAAGCAUAAUCCUAAUAUCUAAUCCUGCCUGAUGAAGGCAGGUUGGAACUGGGUCAGACUGCUUCUGAUCUGUGCUGUGGAAGUCUCUAAGCUGAGGCUGGGUUGCCGUAUUCAGUUUAUCGUUGCACCAAAUGGGCUCACCCAGUACACUAUUCUAGAGUCAUCAGUAGUUUGAUCCAAAGUUUUCCUUUUGGACCAUGUUGAGGUUUAUGGGUUUUUUGUUUUUUUGUUUGUUUGUUUGUUUUUUGUUUUUUUGUUUUUUUGUUUUUUUAAGAGAGAUAUAUUUUGUUACAAAGGUAAUGAUUUCAAAAAGUCUUUAUUUCAUUUCUUCCUCUAAAAGUCUGAACAGGUCCUGUGUUUUAUCUUAAACAUUGUGGACUAAGAAGGGCAGAUUUUUCUUUCCCUUCUUGGGUUUUCGUUGGGGCCUUGGGGCUCAAUAUCUUGAAGGGAAGGUCUUAGAGGAAGAGAGCAUAGCACAAAGGAAGGAGCAAUGGAAUAUUACUCAGCAAUAAAAAGGAAUGAAGCACUGUUACACACUCCAACAAGGAAGAACCUUGAAACAUUAUGCUAAGUGCAAGAAACUAGUCGCAAAAUACUAUAUAUUGUAUGAUUCCAUUUGUAUAAAAUGACCAGCAAAAUUCAGAAAGACAGAAAACAGAUCCGUGGUUGCCGGGGCUAGGGGAGGAUUUGGGGGAUGAGGGUGACUGCUAAAGGGAAUGGAGUAUCUUGUUAGGGAACUGAAAUGUCCCAAAAUUGAUUGUGGUGAUGGUGCACAACUCAGAAUAUACUGAAAACCAUUGAAUUGUACAUUUUAGAUGUAUGAAUUGCAUAGAAUGUGAAUUACAUCUGAAUAAAGUUGUGAAAGAAAGAAGGAAAGGGGGGAUAAGGGAGAAAGGAAGGGAGAAAGUAAAGGAAGGAAGCAGGGAAGGAAGGAAAAAGUGAGCAAAGAAGCAGAGGUUGAAGAUUGUAUCUAAUUUAAGAGGCCCAGAAUGGAUCUGUGUGGCUGGCAUUUAAGGAGGUAGUUAAGAGUGAAACUAAGGCCAAAGAACGCAGGACCUCUAAUUUCAUAUCAGCAUUUGAACUUGAUUGAUAGCCCUGACCUGUCAAUAUACUAGUCACUAGCCAUAUGUGGCUACUGAGCACUUAAAAUGUGGCUAGUCCAAUUUGAGGUGUGCUGUAGGCACAAAACACACAUAAGAUUUUGAAAAUUUAGUAUAAAAAGAAGAAUGUAAAAUUUCAUUAAUUUUUGUAUU